AGGAACCGAAUACGGGAAAACUGCACGUCCGGGUCUUCUGUGCGGGGGGCGUCCAGUGGCGAGCAUCCCUACCGCAAA
Molecule: unclassified non-coding RNA, 78 nt
Filed under: Candidatus Kentrum sp. LFY
Lineage: Bacteria; Pseudomonadati; Pseudomonadota; Gammaproteobacteria
Source: RNAcentral